AGAGUUUGAUCAUGGCUCAGGACGAACGCUGGCGGCAUGCCUAACACAUGCAAGUCGAACGGAGAUUAUUUCGAUAAUCUUAGUGGCGAACGGGUGAGUAACGCGUGGGCAACCUGCCCUCUAGAUGGGGACAACAUCCCGAAAGGGGUGCUAAUACCGAAUGUGACAGCAAUCUCGCAUGAGGAUGCUGUGAAAGAUGGCCUCUAUUUAUAAGCUAUCGCUAGAGGAUGGGCCUGCGUCUGAUUAGCUAGUUGGUGGGGUAACGGCCUACCAAGGCGAUGAUCAGUAGCCGGUCUGAGAGGAUGGAACGGCCACAUUGGGGACUGAGACACGGCCCAGACUCCUACGGGAGGCA
This 355-nucleotide ribosomal RNA is filed under the name uncultured bacterium. RNAcentral describes it as "bacterial SSU rRNA". It matches the Rfam family "Bacterial small subunit ribosomal RNA", at positions 8 to 350 of the family's 1533-position model. The record is from RNAcentral.